GUGCCCUCUUUGGCAGCAUGUAUAUUGAAAAUUGGAAUGACACGGGGAUUAGCGUGGCCCUUGUUCAAGAAUGACAGGUAAAUUCAUGAAACAUUCCAUAUUUAA
This is a small nuclear RNA of Rattus norvegicus (Norway rat), 105 nucleotides long. The record is from Ensembl. Lineage: Eukaryota; Metazoa; Chordata; Mammalia; Rodentia; Muridae.